RNAcentral lists this ribosomal RNA (757 nucleotides) under actinobacterium CMST SSS4. RNAcentral's name for it is "bacterial SSU rRNA". It matches the Rfam family "Bacterial small subunit ribosomal RNA", at positions 79 to 849 of the family's 1533-position model. Lineage: Bacteria; Bacillati; Actinomycetota; Actinomycetes. The record is from RNAcentral.
CUUGCUGGGUGGAUUAGUGGCGAACGGGUGAGUAACACGUGAGUAACCUACCCUUGACUCUGGGAUAAGCCUGGGAACUGGGUCUAAUACCGGAUAGGAACGUCCACCGCAUGGUGGUUGUUGGAAAGAUUUAUCGGUCAUGGAUGGACUCGCGGCCUAUCAGCUUGUUGGUGAGGUAAUGGCUCACCAAGGCGACGACGGGUAGCCGGCCUGAGAGGGUGACCGGCCACACUGGGACUGAGACACGGCCCAGACUCCUACGGGAGGCAGCAGUGGGGAAUAUUGCACAAUGGGCGAAAGCCUGAUGCAGCGACGCCGCGUGAGGGAUGACGGCCUUCGGGUUGUAAACCUCUUUCAGUAGGGAAGAAGCGAAAGUGACGGUACCUGCAGAAGAAGCACCGGCUAACUACGUGCCAGCAGCCGCGGUAAUACGUAGGGUGCGAGCGUUAUCCGGAAUUAUUGGGCGUAAAGAGCUCGUAGGCGGUUUGUCGCGUCUGUCGUGAAAGUCCGGGGCUUAACCCCGGAUCUGCGGUGGGUACGGGCAGACUAGAGUGCAGUAGGGGAGACUGGAAUUCCUGGUGUAGCGGUGGAAUGCGCAGAUAUCAGGAGGAACACCGAUGGCGAAGGCAGGUCUCUGGGCUGUAACUGACGCUGAGGAGCGAAAGCAUGGGGAGCGAACAGGAUUAGAUACCCUGGUAGUCCAUGCCGUAAACGUUGGGCACUAGGUGUGGGGACCAUUCCACGGUUUCCGCGCCGC